This is a long non-coding RNA of Acanthaster planci (crown-of-thorns starfish), 1034 nucleotides long. Lineage: Eukaryota; Metazoa; Echinodermata; Asteroidea; Valvatida; Acanthasteridae. The record is from RefSeq and is a predicted model, not a curated record.
GCAUACAAUUUUGCUGCUAUCAUGAUUGAAUUUUUGCAGGCGUAACUCUCAACGCAUCGCUGCUUGUCGACAGAUGCAACGCUGGCCUUUUCAACUUCGGGGGUCACUCGUCAUUCUCCAAGGGAGUGUCAAAAAGACCCGUAUUCACUGGAUCCAAAACUCUUUUAAGAAAUACACAACGAUGGCAGUUGCAAGUAGCCUUGGUCUGUCAUCCCAAAAAACGAAAAUGACUGAUUACCCUUGUUGUCGUCUAUAGUUCACAAACGCCACGAAUAAAACAUAUGCAAAUGAGAUGCAAAUCUGCUAGCUUUGAACUGCCCCUAUCUGCAGACAAGCAACAAUCAGUAUGCAAAAAGUGGUGGUGGUUCAGCCAGUAACAAAAGCAGUGUUUUUCUGGAAACAUUUCCUGCGCACAUCUACUUGAACCUCAGUGGGCCCUGGGAGACGCGACAAAGAGGUCGCAGCAAGGAAAUGAUUUCUACGCGGACGCCCGAGGAGAGUGGCAAAUCUCCCAGUUCACAGCACCCGCGACGCGACCAGAGGGCCGCGAACAGCAUCAGUUCGUUCGCUGAAAGACACCGCCGAGAUAAGAUGACGCCUGGCCAGCAAUGUACAUGUACGAGAGACGUGUCUCUCGGCAAAUCGACUCGUGAUAGAAGUGAUAUCGCGAUCGCAGCGGGGUGUCAGGAACCGAUGGAAAGAAUGACUCCUUGGGAAAAAACUAUGCCACAGCAAAUUGCGAACUGCUUCAAGUCUGAAAAGUGCAAGCCUCACCGUUAUGCCAGCCUAUCUAGUCACGAUUUUACAAGAUGGCAAGACUACUUUGCAGUGCUUUAAUGUUUGAGAGGAGGAAAGGAUUUUUGUCAAAUAAGGAGUGAUGACAAGGUCAGUCUUGCGAGAAAGUAGGCCUAAACUUCACAAAUGGAAACACGACUACUUUACUCCCAAGACAGUAAGAUAACGGCGCCCCGUCAGAGAUCACUCAACAACAGAGAGCAGAUUCCACAGAGUAGUUUUUGUUUCCACUUACCGAA